GAUGAACGCUGGCGGCGUGCCUAAUACAUGCAAGUCGAGCGAACGGACGAGAAGCUUGCUUCUCUGAUGUUAGCGGCGGACGGGUGAGUAACACGUGGAUAACCUACCUAUAAGACUGGGAUAACUUCGGGAAACCGGAGCUAAUACCGGAUAAUAUUUUGAACCGCAUGGUUCAAAAGUAAAAGACGGUCUUGCUGUCACUUAUAGAUGGAUCCGCGCUGCAUUAGCUAGUUGGUAAGGUAACGGCUUACCAAGGCAACGAUGCAUAGCCGACCUGAGAGGGUGAUCGGCCACACUGGAACUGAGACACGGUCCAGACUCCUACGGGAGGCAGCAGUAGGGAAUCUUCCGCAAUGGGCGAAAGCCUGACGGAGCAACGCCGCGUGAGUGAUGAAGGUCUUCGGAUCGUAAAACUCUGCUAUUAGGGAAGAACAUAUGUGUAAGUACUGUGCACAUCUUGACGGUACCUAAUCAGAAAGCCACGGCUAACUACGUG
RNAcentral lists this ribosomal RNA (496 nucleotides) under uncultured bacterium. RNAcentral describes it as "partial 16S ribosomal RNA". It matches the Rfam family "Bacterial small subunit ribosomal RNA", at positions 28 to 507 of the family's 1533-position model. The record is from RNAcentral.